Molecule: non-coding RNA, 209 nt
Filed under: Lachnoclostridium sp.
Lineage: Bacteria; Bacillati; Bacillota; Clostridia; Lachnospirales; Lachnospiraceae
Description: T-box sequence
Rfam family: T-box leader
About the family: Uncharged tRNA acts as the effector for transcription antitermination of genes in the T-box leader family.
Source: RNAcentral
GAGAAAGCGUUGAAGAGGACAGUAAGCUGUCCGUGCAUCGACAGAGAGGGAUCCGUUUGCUGGAAAGAUCCUGUUGCGCGGCAUGACUGAAGACCACCUCCGAGCGGCCCUAAUAAGGCACGGUGAUUCCGUUAUCAUCAUUUGAAUGAAGAUGGUUUUCCAUGGAAAACAAGCAGGGUGGAACCGCGGGAAGUGCUCCCGUCCCUGUG